AGUAGCUAACGAGUCUCAAAAUAGGACGAAACACGCGUCCUGGAU
This 45-nucleotide non-coding RNA is filed under the name Schistosoma mansoni. Lineage: Eukaryota; Metazoa; Platyhelminthes; Trematoda; Strigeidida; Schistosomatidae. The record is from RNAcentral.